UAAGGAAUAUUGGACAAUGGGCGGAAGCCUGAUCCAGCCAUGCCGCGUGCAGGAAGACGGCGCUCAGCGUUGUAAACUGCUUUUGGGUGGGAACAAUAACCUCCACGAGUUGGGGGCUUGAGGGUACCAUCAGAAUAAGCACCGGCUAACUCCGUGCCAGCAGCCGCGGUAAUACGGAGGGUGCAAGCGUUAUCCGGAAUCACUGGGUUUAAAGGGUGCGUAGGCGGUUUGAUAAGUCAGUUGUGAAAUUCCCCGGCUUAACCGGUGGGACUGCGAUUGAUACUGUCAGACUUGAAUCAGGUUGAGGUAGGCGGAAUGUGGCAUGUAGCGGUGAAAUGCAUAGAUAUGCCAUAGAACACCGAUUGCGAAGGCAGCUUGCUGGACCUAGAUUGACGCUGAGGCACGAAAGCGUGGGGAGCAAACAGG
RNAcentral lists this ribosomal RNA (426 nucleotides) under uncultured Saprospiraceae bacterium. RNAcentral describes it as "bacterial SSU rRNA". It matches the Rfam family "Bacterial small subunit ribosomal RNA", at positions 355 to 776 of the family's 1533-position model. Lineage: Bacteria; Pseudomonadati; Bacteroidota; Saprospiria; Saprospirales; Saprospiraceae. The record is from RNAcentral.